UGGUUAUGAACCUACAAAGAAGUGGUGCAGAAAAAUUAAGCUACAAGUGUUAACAUCAAUUGUUUUUAAAAUAUUGAAAAGGUUAAUCAUACUUGAUCUCUAAACCAUUGAGGGAACUGUGAGUGUAUUAUAGCGGAAGAACUCCCUUCUGGAACUUGCAUAGCCACAAGAAAUGAGCUGUAUAAAAUGAACAUAAUUAGUGACUAUGUUAAAGUUUUAUGAAUGACAACUUAAGAAUGAGAUGAGAACAUACUCAAGGUACACCUUAACUUCAAGGCAAUUAAUUAAGACAUGNANNUGNGNNNAGUUGAAUUNAGCAUCACUUAACCAAUGAGUGAACUCUUUGCCCGCGUGACGGCCCACUUGUCGAAACACUAACAAAGUUGAAUGAGAUGUGGCAGAUUGUGGUUCAUUCCUAACAUUGAUCGGUUUCAACAUGAAGUUGUUGAAAUAAUGAGAACAAAAGUACGUUGUCUCACGAUGCAAGUAAGCCGAACAAAUUGAUCCUUCCACUCUGGCUUUGUUUUU
RNAcentral lists this long non-coding RNA (528 nucleotides) under Vigna radiata. RNAcentral describes it as "long non-coding RNA (VRAD_LNC017895)". The record is from RNAcentral. Lineage: Eukaryota; Viridiplantae; Streptophyta; Magnoliopsida; Fabales; Fabaceae.